AUUGAACGCUGGCGGCAGGCCUAACACAUGCAAGUCGAGCGGAUGAAGGGAGCUUGCUCCUGGAUUCAGCGGCGGACGGGUGAGUAAUGCCUAGGAAUCUGCCUGGUCGUGGGGGAUAACGUCCGUAAACGGGCGCUAAUACCGCAUACGUCCUGAGGGAGAAAGUGGGGGAUCUUCGGACCUCACGCUAUCAGAUGAGCCUAGGUCGGAUUAGCUAGUUGGUGGGGUAAAGGCCUACCAAGGCGACGAUCCGUAACUGGUCUGAGAGGAUGAUCAGUCACACUGGAACGGGGACACGGUCCAGACUCCUACGGGAGGCAGCAGUGGGGAAUAUUGGACAAGGGGCGAAAGCCUGAUCCAGCCAGGCCGCGUGUGAAGAAGGUCUUCGGAUUGUAAAGCACUUGAAGUUGGGAGGAAGGGCAGUAAGUUAAUACCUUGCUGUUUUGACGUUACCAACAGAAGAAGCACCGGCUAACUUCGUG
RNAcentral lists this ribosomal RNA (482 nucleotides) under uncultured bacterium. Its description in RNAcentral is "partial 16S ribosomal RNA". It matches the Rfam family "Bacterial small subunit ribosomal RNA", at positions 30 to 507 of the family's 1533-position model. The record is from RNAcentral.